UAGAGUUUGAUCCUGGCUCAGAAUCAACGCUGGCGGCGUGCCUAACACAUGCAAGUCGAACGCGAAAGGGGAGCAAUCCCUGAGUAGAGUGGCAAACGGGUGAGUAACACGUGGGUGACCUGCCUCAGAGUGGGGGAUAACGUCCCGAAAGGGACGCUAAUACCGCAUAACAUCCUGCCUUUGGAAAGGCGGAGAUCAAAGCCGGGGAUCGCAAGACCUGGCGCUUGGAGAGGGGCCCGCGUCUGAUUAGCUAGUUGGUAGGGUAAUGGCCUACCAAGGCGACGAUCAGUAUCCGGCCUGAGAGGGCGGACGGACACACUGGGACUGAGACACGGCCCAGACUCCUACGGGAGGCAGCAGUGGGGAAUUGUUCGCAAUGGGCGAGGCUUGCCGGACGCAACGCCGCGUGGAGGAUGAAGAUCUUCGGGUCGUAAACUCCUGUCGAGCGGGACGAACACUUAUCCGGAUAACACCUGGAUAGGCUGACGGUACCGCUAAAGGAAGCCCCGGCUAACUCCGUGCCAGCAGCCGCGGUAAUACGGGGGGGGCAAGCGUUGUUCGGAAUUACUGGGCGUAAAGGGCUCGUAGGCGGCCAACUAAGUCAGACGUGAAAUCCCCAGGCUCAACCUGGGAACUGCGUCUGAUACUGGAUGGCUUGAAUCCGGGAGAGGGAUGCAGAAUUCCAGGUGUAGCGGUGAAAUGCGUAGAUAUCUGGAGGAAUACCGGUGGCGAAGGCGGCAUCCUGGACCGGCAUUGACGCUGAGGAGCGAAAGCCAGGGGAGCAAACGGGAUUAGAUACCCCGGUAGUCCUGGCCCUAAACGAUGAAUGCUUGGUGUAACGGGUAUCGAUCCCUGUUGUGCCGAAGCUAACGCAUUAAGCAUUCCGCCU
Molecule: ribosomal RNA, 889 nt
Filed under: uncultured bacterium
Lineage: Bacteria
Description: bacterial SSU rRNA
Rfam family: Bacterial small subunit ribosomal RNA
Source: RNAcentral